RNAcentral lists this ribosomal RNA (291 nucleotides) under uncultured bacterium. Its description in RNAcentral is "partial 16S ribosomal RNA". It matches the Rfam family "Bacterial small subunit ribosomal RNA", at positions 28 to 316 of the family's 1533-position model. The record is from RNAcentral.
GAUGAACGCUAGCGGCAGGCUUAAUACAUGCAAGUCGAGGGGCAGCGCAGUGUAGCAAUACAUGGGCGGCGACCGGCAAACGGGUGCGGAACACGUACGCAAUCUACCCAAAACUGAUGAAUAGCCCUCCGAAAGGAGGAUUAAUACAUCGUAACCUAUUAGAGUAGCAUUACUUUAUUAGUAUAGCUCCGGCGGUUUGGAUGAGCGUGCGCCUGAUUAGAUAGNGGCGGGGUAACGGCCCACCAAGUCUGCGAUCAGUAACUGGUGUGAGAGCACGACCAGUCACACGGG